Long non-coding RNA from Sapajus apella (tufted capuchin), 811 nucleotides. RefSeq lists it as uncharacterized. Lineage: Eukaryota; Metazoa; Chordata; Mammalia; Primates; Cebidae. The transcript has 2 exons. The record is from RefSeq and is a predicted model, not a curated record.
CGUAGGCGAUCGGGCAAGGGAGACUGGCCGCCGGAUGGGACUGACAAACCCACCGCUGCCGGGACCUGCGGAACCUUCUGAAUGACGUGGGGUGGGGAGAGCGUCUUAGGUGCCACAGCCUCCAAGCCUCAUUGAUUGUCCCUCUCCAACAAGCCUUUAGGCACAGCCACCCACGCUUCUGGAGCAUAUCUCCAUGGAGAGCCUCUCUUUUGCUCUGCCAUGGCCCCGCGGGCAGGAUUGGAGUGUGCUUGGGGCAAGUGAUUUAUCCGUUGAAGCUGCGGCAGCGAGGUGCAAGUUUUGAGGCGCGCUUCUUCGGGGCAUUACGGCGCUUCCCCGACGCCAGCGCUGACGUCUGCGCGGGGGAGGGAGGCCACUUCGGUUCUCCGAGUUCCCUACCCGAACAGCCAGAGUUAGACGCGUCGGCGCGGGAAAGUGGCUCGCUGGUGGGCGGGGAGCCUUAGCCCUGGCUGUGGGGUGAUAAUCCGGCAUCGGGCAGACGCUCACGUUCGCAGGACCCCAGCAUUCCGGCGUCCGCUGCAACCCAAGGAAAACGGGCCGGACCUUUCCAGGAAUGUCAUGUGAAGGCACAGGAGAGACAGAGGAGACCCCAUGUGAAGAUGGAAGCAGAAGUCAAAGUGAUGUGUCGCCAAGCCAAAGAAUGCCCAGGAUUUCCAGCAACCACCAGAAGCUAGGAGAGAGGCAUGGAACAGAUUUUUUUUCUCUCAGUUCUGGAAACAACAAACCCCACUGACACCUUGAUUUUAGACUUCUAGCCUCUGAACUAGAAGAAAAUAAAUGGUGGUUAUCCUAA